Molecule: ribosomal RNA, 443 nt
Filed under: uncultured bacterium
Lineage: Bacteria
Description: partial 16S ribosomal RNA
Rfam family: Bacterial small subunit ribosomal RNA
Source: RNAcentral
CCUACGGGCGGCAGCAGUGGGGAAUAUUGGGCAAUGGGCGCAAGCCUGACCCAGCAACGCCGCGUGAAGGAAGAAGGCUUUCGGGUUGUAAACUUCUUUUAUCAGGGACGAAGCAAGUGACGGUACCUGAUGAAUAAGCCACGGCUAACUACGUGCCAGCAGCCGCGGUAAUACGUAGGUGGCAAGCGUUAUCCGGAUUUACUGGGUGUAAAGGGCGUGUAGGCGGGAAAACAAGUCAGAUGUGAAAACCAUGGGCUCAACCUGUGGCCUGCAUUUGAAACUGUUUUUCUUGAGUACUGGAGAGGCAGGCGGAAUUCCUAGUGUAGCGGUGAAAUGCGUAGAUAUUAGGAGGAACACCAGUGGCGAAGGCGGUCUGCUGGACAGCAACUGACGCUGAGGCGCGAAAGCGUGGGGAGCAAACAGGAUUAGAUACCCCAGUAGUC